AACGAACGCUGGCGGCAGGCCUAACACAUGCAAGUCGAGCGGACCUUUCGGGGUCAGCGGCGGACGGGUGAGUAACGCGUGGGAAUAUGCCCUUCUCUACGGAAUAGUCCCGGGAAACUGGGGGUAAUACCGUAUACGCCCUUUGGGGGAAAGAUUUAUCGGGGAAGGAUUAGCCCGCGUUGGAUUAGGUAGUUGGUGGGGUAAUGGCCUACCAAGCCGACGAUCCAUAGCUGGUUUGAGAGGAUGAUCAGCCACACUGGGACUGAGACACGGCCCAGACUCCUACGGGAGGCAGCAGUGGGGAAUCUUAGACAAUGGGGGCAACCCUGAUCGAGCCAUGCCGCGUGAGUGAUGAAGGCCUUAGGGUUGUAAAGCUCUUUCAGCUGGGAAGAUAAUGACGGUACCAGCAGAAGAAGCCCCGGCUAACUCCGUG
Molecule: ribosomal RNA, 433 nt
Filed under: uncultured bacterium
Lineage: Bacteria
Description: partial 16S ribosomal RNA
Rfam family: Bacterial small subunit ribosomal RNA
Source: RNAcentral